Molecule: long non-coding RNA, 391 nt
Organism: Oncorhynchus masou masou (cherry salmon)
Lineage: Eukaryota; Metazoa; Chordata; Actinopteri; Salmoniformes; Salmonidae
Exons: 3
Source: RefSeq, a predicted model, not a curated record
UGUGUCUCUUCUUUAGUUACUGGUUAAUACCACUGAUGUUGUUCAACUGGGCCUCCAGUCCAAUGGUCACCGUAGUAGCAGUGAAGUGACUAAGUUACUGAGGACGAUUGAAAUCUCAUUCAGACUGAUCGCCUCCACUGCUGACAGAGAACGUGACCAGGAUAGAGACCAACCACACAGAGGUUGAGAUUAUGGUGAGAAGAGACAAGACUCCACCUGAAGGACCAGUCAGCCUGACCAAUGAGAACACUCAACUUGACACCACCUGGGAGACGGUGGUUGGAGAUGACCAGAAUUACCCAGGGUAUGCAUUUGUCAUUCUGCUCAGCCAUAAGAAUCUGGAUAGUCUGAAGGACAGUACUUCUCAUCAGAGCCAGCAGCUCAUGUCCAG